This 661-nucleotide long non-coding RNA is filed under the name Olea europaea subsp. europaea. Lineage: Eukaryota; Viridiplantae; Streptophyta; Magnoliopsida; Lamiales; Oleaceae. The record is from RNAcentral.
AGGUAGUCUAUAAUUUGGAAUCGACAAAAAAGAAAAUCAAACUUGUUUAUAUAGGAAGGAAAUCUUUUAUAAAUUAUUAAUUUGGAGUGAAAAAGCUGAUUAAUACAUGUAAUUAAGCAACAAACAGAAUACACACACAACAUUAAUUAUUCGCAUAAUACAUACAUUUAUAAAGGACAACAAACGAGAACACUGAUCAUGUUUCGCUUAGCUUAAGAGUAAAAAAGAUAAGCCAGUUUCUUUUGUAGAAGAAGCAAAGCCGUACAUGCUCGCCAUAAUUGAUUGAUCCUUAAUCAUUGUCCUGACCUAGCGCAGAGAUUAUUGUAGGCACAAGGGUGUUUUCGGGCUGUGUGUUCAGAUUUCCAACACAACUACCGUAUGAAUUUCUCAGGCAGAAGGGUUUCAUCCGGAUGGCAGUUUGGUAAACGUUCGUUUUGGUGGGUUCAGCCAAAAUCCUUAUGCUUAUUUCUGAUUCCAUCAAAAACUCCUCAUUUACUGGAAUGCAGUCUCCAAUCGUGGAACCAUUGCACUUGGUGGAGCUAAAACAUUCGAUCGUUUCGCUGAAGAUCAAUAAUGCCCACUGUAAAGUAGAGGAAAUUCAUGUCUCUCUUCAGAGAAAUCUCAACUAAUACUGAAGAUAAUUUAUAGAUAAAUUCAUAGU